UUGGCUUUCUUUGUGUGGUUUCUCUGAACUGAAUCUAAUCUUUCUGCCCUACCAACUCUUUUUCCAUAAGACAAAUUGGGUUCUUCUGGUGAAAACUUAGAUGUUGAAGCAUGGGCGGCGGCUUGAGGCCCGUUCCGAAUGACCUAUUCGACCCGGAAACAACGCUUUUUGCUUAAGAGAGGGGCCCCUGGGGCCAAACUCAAACUUUCAUCUUGGAGCUAGGGCAUACGUUGAGCCAGCUUUGCCAGAUCGGACCGCGUUCGUCUUAGAGCACCAGUCAAGCUCAUCACUAGGUAACGAACGAGUCGAAACAGAUGGUGAUCAGAGGUGGACAGCUAGGCAAGCUCUAGCUGGUGGAGCAAGGGCUGAGGCUGUAGUUUCAAAUCCAACCAAGAAAGUCUGCCAGCAGAAUCUAGGGCUGGAUAGAGGUUGCCAACCGGGAUUUAGUACCCAACUAACUAAUAAAAAGGGCUUGUUGCCCGCUCUAAACUAAAGGAAUUAGAGCUUCCUUUGGAGGCUCCUCGGGGAUAAUAAGGUAGAAAGAGCGGAGAUAUGGGCUAGCCCUAAAAUCAGUGUAUGAAAGGUCCCGGCAAGAAGGGUUGGGAACGGGGCUAAACGAAACUCCCUCGAGAAGGGAAAUAGAAGAGCUUUUAAGCCACGUUGAGAAUGGUCGGUGGGGUCAGUUAAAGGUAUGUAAGCCGACACUGACGCAGAGACAUCUGUUGUUCUUUCAGCAAAUGAAUAAUAGGAUUUCCUCCCUUUCAAGGUAGGUAUAUGGGUAUACUACAGAAUCGGAGCAUAGAGCAGCUGGUGGGGAAGGAAGCGAGGCCGGUGUGGAAGGAAGAUGUCCGUGUCCUGUAGCUUUCGGCCAACAAGAGGGGAGGGCAGCGAGAACUUCACUCAAUAGAAGUUCGACCAUACAUACCCAUGACCAAUCACAAUGAACAACGCGGUCUUAGAAUAGAAAGUUUCGGGUACUGGGUCUCAUUCUGUUGGUUUGACACCUAUAGAGGCAACUGUAUUCAAAUGAGGCUGCCAUCCCUUAGCUUAGGGCGGGGAAGGGCUGGGGAAGGAAGCACUUCAAACAAUCCAUUUUUCAUUUUUUGUUAGUCUUCCCUCGACCGAUGGAUCAAUCCCCUCAGCCGCUGAUGUUCGAUCCUCAAUUACCGAUAGAUGGACACUGCUCUAUCCCAAGCAGCUGUUGAAGUCAACCCUGACCACCCUCCAGAUAAAGCGGCCAUCACCUCAAUUGCUGCUAAUAGACCUGCACACACCAGAUUGCAACGGAUGAAUUACAACAAAUACAGCAGCAUCAAGUGAUUAAGAAUGUUUAAAUGCCAUCCUAAUUGCUGACGCCCCUUCUCUAAUUUCUACCCAUCCGAUUAGCAAAGUGACAAACAAAUACAGCUGUACAGCAGACCGAACCUUACCCAAGACCAACUACCUCAGGCCCAGGUAUAGCACCAACUUACAUUUGAAAGCCCAAGCCAUAGCCCGGUUUGAAAAAGUUGUAGUUGUACUAGAAGCAGCAUAAGCAAGAAGCAUAAGCAGCAUAAGCAGCAAAGAGAGAGCGCGCUAGCGCUAUUAUUUAUUCGCUCCUUAAUAGCAGCGGCUUUCUUGCUCGGGUAAGCAGCAUAAGCAGAAGCAGCGUAAGCAGCAAAGAGAGAGCGCGCUAGCGCUAUUAUUUAUUCGCUCCUUAAUAGCAGUGGCUU
RNAcentral lists this long non-coding RNA (1712 nucleotides) under Amborella trichopoda. Its description in RNAcentral is "long non-coding RNA (ATRI_LNC002461)". Lineage: Eukaryota; Viridiplantae; Streptophyta; Magnoliopsida; Amborellales; Amborellaceae. The record is from RNAcentral.